AACUUUUGGCAACGGAUCACUUGGCUCUCGCAUCGAUGAAGAACACAGCGAAAUGUGAUAAGUAAUGUGAAUUGCAGAAUCCAGUGAAUCAUCGAAUCUUUGAACGCAUCUUGCGCUCCUUGGCAUUCCAAGGAGCAUGCCUGUUUGAGUGUCGUUAAACUAUCAAAACACUUUUCUUGGGUGUUUUGGACUUGGGAGUAUCUUGCUGGUCUGUUUGGGCCAGCUCUCCUCAAAAGCAUUAGCUUUGGAGACCAUCAGUGUGAUAAUUUGUUUACACUGACUCGAGUGUCUCAGCUUCUCCUUUUCAAUAAUACCCCUUUGACCUCAAAUCAGGUAGGACUACCCGCUGAACUUAAGCAUAUCAAUAAGCGGAGGCU
This 377-nucleotide unclassified non-coding RNA is filed under the name uncultured Amanita. Its description in RNAcentral is "sequence contains ITS2". The stretch from base 1 to 154 matches the Rfam family "5.8S ribosomal RNA". Lineage: Eukaryota; Fungi; Basidiomycota; Agaricomycetes; Agaricales; Amanitaceae. The record is from RNAcentral.